GGGGAUGUAGUUCAGUGGUAAGAAUGCUUGCUUGCCUAGCAUGUGCAACAUGCAGGGUUUCAUCCUCA
RNAcentral lists this transfer RNA (68 nucleotides) under Ictidomys tridecemlineatus (thirteen-lined ground squirrel). Its description in RNAcentral is "Spermophilus tridecemlineatus (thirteen-lined ground squirrel) tRNA". It matches the Rfam family "tRNA". From Rfam's summary of the family: Transfer RNA (tRNA) molecules are approximately 80 nucleotides in length. Lineage: Eukaryota; Metazoa; Chordata; Mammalia; Rodentia; Sciuridae. The record is from Rfam by way of RNAcentral.